GCCGGAGGGAAACCGAGUCUUAAUUGGGCGUUAAGUUGCAGGGUAUAGACCCGAAACCCGGUGAUCUAGCCAUGGGCAGGUUGAAGGUUGGGUAACACUAACUGGAGGACCGAACCGACUAAUGUUGAAAAAUUAGCGGAUGACCUGUGGCUGGGGGUGAAAGGCCAAUCAAACCGGGAGAUAGCUGGUUCUCCCCGAAAGCUAUUUAGGUAGCGCCUCGUGAAUUCAUCUCCGGGGGUAGAGCACUGUUUCGGCUAGGGGGCCAUCCCGGCUUACCAACCCGAUGCAAACUGCGAAUACCGGAGAAUGUUAUCACGGGAGACACACGGCGGGUGCUAACGUCCGUCGUGAAGAGGGAAACAACCCAGACCGCCAGCUAAGGUCCCAAAGUCAUGGUUAAGUGGGAAACGAUGUGGGAAGGCCCAGACAGCCAGGAUGUUGGCUUAGAAGCAGCCAUCAUUUAAAGAAAGCGUAAUAGCUCACUGGUCGAGUCGGCCUGCGCGGAAGAUGUAACGGGGCUAAACCAUGCACCGAAGCUGCGGCAGCGACACUGUGUGUUGUUGGGUAGGGGAGCGUUCUGUAAGCCUGUGAAGGUGUGUCGUGAGGCAUGCUGGAGGUAUCAGAAGUGCGAAUGCUGACAUAAGUAACGAUAAAGCGGGUGAAAAGCCCGCUCGCCGGAAGACCAAGGGUUCCUGUCCAACGUUAAUCGGGGCAGGGUGAGUCGACCCCUAAGGCGAGGCCGAAAGGCGUAGUCGAUGGGAAACGGGUUAAUAUUCCCGUACUUGGUGUUACUGCGAAGGGGGGACGGAGAAGGCUAUGUUGGCCGGGCGACGGUUGUCCCGGUUUAAGCGUGUAGGUGUGUGUUCCAGGUAAAUCCGGUUCACUUUAACACUGAGGCGUGACGACGAGGCACUACGGUGCUGAAGCAACAAAUGCCCUGCUUCCAGGAAAAGCCUCUAAGCAUCAGGUAACAUCAAAUCGUACCCCAAACCGACACAGGUGGUCAGGUAGAGAAUACCAAGGCGCUUGAGAGAACUCGGGUGAAGGAACUAGGCAAAAUGGUGCCGUAACUUCGGGAGAAGGCACGCUGACACGUAGGUGAAGUGAUUUACUCAUGGAGCUGAAGUCAGUCGAAGAUACCAGCUGGCUGCAACUGUUUAUUAAAAACACAGCACUGUGCAAACACGAAAGUGGACGUAUACGGUGUGACGCCUGCCCGGUGCCGGAAGGUUAAUUGAUGGGGUCAGCGCAAGCGAAGCUCCUGAUCGAAGCCCCGGUAAACGGCGGCCGUAACUAUAACGGUCCUAAGGUAGCGAAAUUCCUUGUCGGGUAAGUUCCGACCUGCACGAAUGGCGUAAUGAUGGCCAGGCUGUCUCCACCCGAGACUCAGUGAAAUUGAACUCGCUGUGAAGAUGCAGUGUACCCGCGGCAAGACGGAAAGACCCCGUGAACCUUUACUAUAGCUUGACACUGAACAUUGAGCCUUGAUGUGUAGGAUAGGUGGGAGGCUUUG
RNAcentral lists this ribosomal RNA (1513 nucleotides) under Salmonella enterica subsp. enterica serovar Stanley. RNAcentral's name for it is "partial 23S ribosomal RNA". It matches the Rfam family "Bacterial large subunit ribosomal RNA", at positions 665 to 2159 of the family's 2925-position model. Lineage: Bacteria; Pseudomonadati; Pseudomonadota; Gammaproteobacteria; Enterobacterales; Enterobacteriaceae. The record is from RNAcentral.